This 253-nucleotide ribosomal RNA is filed under the name uncultured bacterium. Its description in RNAcentral is "partial 16S ribosomal RNA". It matches the Rfam family "Bacterial small subunit ribosomal RNA", at positions 524 to 776 of the family's 1533-position model. The record is from RNAcentral.
UACGAAGGAGGCUAGCGUUGCUCGGAAUCACUGGGCGUAAAGGGUGCGUAGGCGGGUCUUUAAGUCAGGGGUGAAAUCCUGGAGCUCAACUCCAGAACUGCCUUUGAUACUGAAGAUCUUGAGUUCGGGAGAGGUGAGUGGAACUGCGAGUGUAGAGGUGAAAUUCGUAGAUAUUCGCAAGAACACCAGUGGCGAAGGCGGCUCACUGGCCCGAUACUGACGCUGAGGCACGAAAGCGUGGGGAGCAAACAGG